GAACCGCUAGCUGAGCCAGUGUUGCAGUGAGCGCAGCGGGGAAUUCGGUGGCAAGUGCAACUACGAUAACAAGCGUUGCAAACUUGUACAUGGAGGCUAAAGCAUCCCCACAAUGACAGAGGCCAACAUGGAAGAUUAUUUGCUGCGGGCCAAGACAAUGCUGGUUAGUUUUAGCCUAGACAGCCCGGGGACAAUAAGGGUUUUACUGGUUGGGAUGAUGACAACGUGCUACAUUCUGUAUUCCUGUUGCUGAAAACGUAGUCUCUUGUUUCUUUGCCCCCCAAGCACAAGUAGUAGGCGACGGCGGACGUCCGGAAUGAUGAAGAAAACCAAUGGUCCAAACCAUAAGCUUCUCCUGCCACACAUUUUUCAAAAUUAAUUUGAACGAGUCACGCACAAGUUUCGCACGCACCUGUGCUGCAGGACACCUACACCACCCGAUGUGACAGGAAGGCCAAAAAGAUCAUCAAAGACAACAACCACCCGAGCCACUGCCUGUUCACCCCGCUAUCAUCCAGAAGGCGAGGACAGUACAAGUGCAUCAAAGUGGGGACCGAGAGACUGAAAAACAGCUUCUAUCUCAAGGCCAUCAGACUGUUAAACAGCCAUCACUAACAUUGAGGUGCUGCUGCCAACAUACUGACUCAUCACUAGCCACUUUUAACAAUGCCACUUUAUAUAAUGUUUACAUACCCUACAUUACUCAUCUCAUGUAUAUACUGUACUCUAUACCAUCUACUGCGUCUUGCCUAUGCCGUUCGGCCAUCACUCAUUCAUAUAUUUUUAUGUACAUAUUCUUAUUAAUUCCUUUACACUUGUGAAUAAGGUAGUUGUUGUGAAAUUGUUAGGUUAGAUUACUUGUUAGAUAUUACUGCAUGGUCGGAACUAGAAGCACAAGCAUUUCACUACACUCACAUUAACUGCUAACGAUGUGUAUGUCACAAAUAACAUUUGAUUUGAUUUUGAUUUUUAUCUCUUAGAGAUCAAAUUAUAUUUCAACAAAAUAUUUCAUAAUGCUUAUGUUUCUAACUACAGAUAUGAUUUAAGAACAAUCUAAGAUGGUGGGUGUCAUGGCUUGCUGAAAUGACAUGGAAUGACCCUGUCCUUUAUCCCAUGGCAGAAACCAGCCCAGUGCAUGCACACUUUGUGGAGAUUGGAGACAGACACCACUUACAUACAGUAGAUACAGUAUAUUGCCAUAGUAGACCUAAAAACAUUCUGACUUGGAAAGUCUUUGACUUGAUUGAGGGAAAGAGACAGUGUGGGACUGACACAGACUAUGUUUUUUCUUAAAUACAUGGAAAAUAAAUGUGUGUGUGAGUGUGUC
This is a long non-coding RNA of Oncorhynchus masou masou (cherry salmon), 1327 nucleotides long. RefSeq lists it as uncharacterized. The transcript has 2 exons. The record is from RefSeq and is a predicted model, not a curated record. NCBI's taxonomy places the organism in Eukaryota, Metazoa, Chordata, Actinopteri, Salmoniformes, Salmonidae.